This 7216-nucleotide long non-coding RNA is filed under the name Triticum aestivum (bread wheat). RNAcentral's name for it is "long non-coding RNA (TAES_LNC002859)". The record is from RNAcentral. Lineage: Eukaryota; Viridiplantae; Streptophyta; Magnoliopsida; Poales; Poaceae.
UCUUUUCUUCUCAAGAAAAAAAGUACGUAAUAAAAUACGUAGCUCAUAGGGUCUACAGGUUCUGAACUUAUCCUUAGGCCUCGUUCGAUCCCCACAGAACUCCCGAGCCGCCGACCCACAUGAGCCAUUUCUUCCGAUUUGCCGCCGGUGAAGAAAGGUAUGACCGCUGGCCAUCAGGAAAUCAAACCCCAGGCUAUACUGGAUCUACUUGUCACUAAUUUUCUUCGAAUUUCUUUUUCUGGUUGCGCAGGUGGGCGGGUGAGUCCAUGAGUCCGUAAGGUGUGAAUCCACGCCAACCUCGUUGAGUCUAGCGGAGCGGCAGGGAGGGCCAUUGCGAGCGCGGCGCGCUGCUGAACCGGCGGCUAGUGGCUGUGGUGGAGAUGCUGGAGGUUGGUGGCACCGAGGAGGCGGUGAGGGAGCACCGGUUCACGGAUUUUCUGGACGAAAUCAUGCGAUUCGGUCUAAGUUUGUUGGUGGCAAGGCAACAAUGUCAGCGCAACAAAUGUCCCAAAAAGAAUGGUUGUUCGGAUGGAGGAUGCUGAAGAAUGGCUGGAUGGACAGAGGAUGGCCUGCUGCGAUGGUCCAUGGGAGGUAUGGGGGUAACAGAGGCAAGAUGCAUAUAAGGAGACCGUUGGAUAAUCAAAUAGCAGCAAGAUGUUAGUGGCUUCUGGGGACGGCAUGGCUCCUACAAAAUGUGAAGUACCAGCUAAUGGUAUGCAAUCUUCCAUUGUGGUUCCUCCAUAUCACUAUUGAGUAUGUUUUUUAGUUUUUUUUUACGGGUUGAUAUUUUUUUAGUUGUUGUUCCUAUGUGUUAGUAAGAAAGCUUUCAUUUAUCUCCAUGAUUGUAAAGCCGGUGAUCCCCAGCAGAUGAGCAGUUGUGGUUCGUUUGCUUAAUAUAUAUAGGGCAUGCCUGUGCCUUUUCUCUAAAUAUAAGAAGGAUUUCAUUUAUUAAUUGAAAUUUGGUUCAUGUGUUAAUUGACCUAAAAUGAUUAGUCUAUUUACACGUCUUGUCGCUGCUGCGUAAGAUAGAUGACGGCCCUCAUUUCUAUUCCACUCGUUGAUAUUAGGAGGGGCCAAAGUAAGUGUAUGACAUAAAAACGCCUAGGGUGAUCAGAGACGCCGGAGAAUUAGUACAACGAUUAGCAUAAAUAUAAGCAUAGUAAAAUUUCCUCUGGGAAGGGGGGGCCAAGGCCUGGUAUUGUCCCGCCUACGCUCCGCCACUGACCAAAUGUGUUUGCUGGUUAGGUUGAAUUUCCUAUAUUAACAUGAUUAGUAAUUUUUAUUGAAUUUUAUUGAAAGAAUUCAGAAACUCAAUUUUUUUACUUCAUACAGAGUUUACAUGAAACCAAAUGUUGGUUUCCUUCUAUUUUUUUUUCGAAAUACACAUAUAAAUAGAGCCUUUUUCUUUUCAUGUUACACUAUUUAAUCAUCUACUGGUACCUAUUACGAACUUCUAUAAAAAAAUUCAACGACAUUGUUAUAUCCUAUACCAACCACCCAUUAAGUGAUGCAUAUAUUUUAGCACGCAUACAUACUACGGAAGUUAUCCAUUGGUAUGACACAUGCGAAUGCCAGCCCAACUUGCCAGUGCUUAAACACUCUCAGGUGGUCAAUGUUGUGGAACGGAAAAUGUGUCGCUUUUCAUGCACACUUACAAUUUGUAUAGUUGGCUUGUACGCAAGUAAUCAAUGCAUAGCCAUAAACUGUAUUACUGUUUGACAUCAAAUGUAUUGUUUUAGUUAAAGAAAAGUGGUUAAUGUUUUGCUACAAAAUAGAAACGGUGAAGAGAUCAUGUGUGAGAGCUAGGCAGAAGCAAGUUUCAGUUUAUCAUGUAAUUGGAACUGGAAGGGAUUCCAAUUGAGGGUAAAAUUUUCUGGCUUCCUUGCAGUAUGUGAUAUCAUCAGUUCCUUUUUCUUUUGUUUUGAGGGAAUGCACGUCUCAUAUGAUUAGUUAACAAUGCAAACUUCUUUUUCCUGUUUCUAGUUUCUUAUACUUAUGUCUCAUGCUCCUGACCUUUUUCUUUCCGCGGAGACACGCUUUGUCAAUAGAGACGCUAUGUCCUUAUGACGGGUAACUUUUUAGUAUUUUUUUUUCUUUACAGUACUAACUAAAAUUGUGGGUAACAUAUAAUUGAGCAUAAUAUAUAUGUCUUGGAGGCGACUGUUUUAACAUCAUGUAAUCAUUAUCUCAAGCAUGCAUUUGUAGCUUCACCCAUCAGUAUAGUGUUGUGUGCAGAGGGAAAAUUAGGGAAUCUCUUUUAAUUUAGCAAGUCAAGAUUAUAUAAAAAUAACAGAAGCAUGGUCAUAUAUAUUGUUUAAUUUGACAAUAUAACCAACAGAUACAUAUGACAACAUUGACACACUAUAUCUGCUAUAUUUAUUGACCAAUCCAGAACCUCGUAUUCAUAUGAUAAAACUUAGGAGAAUUCAGAAUUCCAGUACUCUAGUUGUCUAGAUCUGGUAAGUAGAUAACAGAAGAGUGAUUACAACACAUUUGAAAGCAUGUCUAUUUGCAGAUGGGAAACUAUGCCCCAAUUGAAUUUCAUCACGUAAGAUUGGAAAUCAUAUCUCAUCCAUAAGCACAAAUGAUGUUCAUUUAUAAUUGCCAUUAAAUAUUGACAUCUUUCUGUGUAAACAUUACCUAACUAUUUCACGUAGCAUAAAACUUCCCCAUAUUUCUCUAGACCAUGUCUAAUAGUGUAUAAUAUAUGAUAGAUAGACUACUUGAGUUCUACAGGUUUCUAUUUACAUGUCCUUUGAUGUACGAAGAUUGGUUAUAGAUAACGAUUUCUUUUGAUAUAAAAUAAAGCACCCCUCUAACUAAAUAAUUCAUUUUCCCUGAAGUCUUAAAAAUAUUUUGGAAGAUUUGGAAUUCAGACCAGUAACCUAUAGGCAAGAAUAUAGUAAUGUAUCGUCAAAUAUCAUCUAUCAAAUGUUAUAUUACCAACUGUGCAUAAUAAACAGAAGUGAGUUCUGUAGAUUGGCAAUGGUCUACAGACUCUCAAGUGAAUCCGUGCACCCAAUCAGUUGAUUUAUGACUUAGAUAUACCAUGUAGAUAAUCAUAGAUUUAUACUUCAUAUUUGGAAGAAACAACUUCAAACAUCCAAAUCAUCUCCACGCAUUAAGAACUCCAAGAAGUAACUAAUUUGUUUGUUACGUACCAGAGAAGUGGAGGCUCUAAGAAUUAAAAAGUAGUCUUGCACAACAUUCUUUCUUACGUAUAAAUAUUGUAAAACAAAACUCCUUGCCGCGUCUUCAGGGAAACAGAAACAGAAAGAAUGUAAAGGAAGUAGUUUCUCUUGAUAACUACAAUCAUUUUAAAUUGACAUUGGCAAGGAAAACUUCUAAAUUGUGAUUGAAAGGUAGUAUAACCGAAGAUGCAACAGGUGGAUAGUCUAGCUUGAAAAGGUACAUGAAUCGAAGGAUUAAACUACAUUGAAUCAUUGGAUAAGUAUACCAUUAAUUAGUGCAUAUAUUGGCAUCAUGCAUAUUUCCUUGUAAGUUGUAUAACUAUUUCCCAUGGCAGAGAUAACCGAUAUGAAGAACUUUAUUCCUUCUUGAAUAACUAAAGGCCUUGAAAGCUAGCCGUCAAUAUUAUGUCUCGGCUAUCAUAGCAACAGCUAUGCCUGUUUAUAGAACAAUGUUAAUUAUAUUCAAAGUACAGUAAUAUAGAGGUAACUAUAUAUUCUUAGAAAGUAAGAAAACUUACAAAUUUCAAGCACCACCUUAGUGUCUUCUGACAUAUUAUAGGUGGGGAGUUAGCCCAUCUGAGCUUGGACUUGCAAGGAAAUAUUGGCAAGAAAUGUUUCGAAAAGAAUUAGAAAGGGAGGAGAAUGAAUACAUUACAGUAUAAAUAAUGUAUGCAUCUAGAUGGUUAGAAAAUGUAGAAGACUAAAAGUUAAUCAAGGCGAUCUGGCGAGGUUCUAUAUGAAAUUUGAUGUUCUGGGGAACAAAUCAUUUAAGUUGUGUUUGGGAUUACUUGCCUGUUGAGUUUGGGAAUCAGCGGCAGGCGAUGAACUCAAAACUUGUCCAGGAUGACUGCUUUAUAGUGUCACUUACAGUUACAAAUAGAUGAAGACCUAAUAAAUUAAAUUCUAGGGGAGGGAAAAUUUGGGAACAAUUCAAAGAAAAUUUAGAUGGCAUCUGCAGGGUGAAUUCAGAGGAAGACUUCAUUUGUCUAUUGCCUUGACUGGAGCAGUGGAGCUUGCUAGGUUCAAUGACAUGGCUGUAGGUUUACCUCAUCGUCGGCGUCGUCUUUGCUGCCGCAGCCGCUUCUUCGACGCCUGCGUCACGCAGCCAUUGGAUGGCGGCUUCUGCUCCCUCUGUCACAUUCCUGAUGUUUUCCAUCCGUGAGACACGGUUCCUGUCCCUGAUUGGAUCAUAUACCUAGGAAUUGAAGGCAAGCCUCUAUUCAAUUAGGAGAUGACAUGGUUCCUGUGCUUGGAGCUUUAAACAUCCAAAUCAUCUCCGUGCAUUAAGAACUCCAAGAAGUAACUAAUUUGCUCAUCUGUGUUGAUGCGUUCAAGUCCUGCACGCUGUACUCACCAUGGGUGGUGAUGCUAUGUGAAGACUUCAGCGACCACAAAGAAAUUAGCUUUGCAACCAAAUUCAUCUAUUUGUAACUGUAAGUGACACUAUAUUUAAAUUUUGAAAUCCCAGGCUUCAAUUGCUAGCUUCAAGGAGACGGCUGUAGGGUUACCUCAUCAUCGUCGUCAUCUCUGCCGCCACCGCUGCUUCUUCGACGUCUACGUCUCAAGGUGGGAAUGGGCCGGGUCGACCCACCGGGUCUUUGGCCCGACCCAAAAAAACAAGGCCAAUGGGUCAGUCGGGUCGGCCUCAUACAAAAAUCGGGCCAGUAGAGCCGGCACGGAGUGCCCAUCGGGUCAGCGGGGCCGACCCACCUCCGAGAGUACUGGAGUCAAUCGGUAUCGCCAAAUCCAUCUUACUAGCUUAGCUUAUCUAUAUCUAUAUCUAUACCUCUAUAUCUAUAUCUAUACCUCUAUAUCUAUAUCUAUAUCUAUAUCUAUAUCUAUACCUCUAUAUCUAUAUCUAUACCUCUAUAUCUAUAUCUAUAUCUAUAUCUAUACCUUUAUAUCUAUAUCUAUAUCUAUAUCUAUACCUAUUAAUAAAGCAGAUAUUGCUUCUGCCCGUACGUCACAAAAAUCGCCCCCCGAAGUUGCUAGAAAUUACCCGCGAUGCCACCCGUAAGUGAAGAAAACGAUUCGAUUUUUCUUUUCAAAGUCGCCGUCGUUUCCAGAGUUUGUAUACAGUUAAUAUCCAACAAAUAUCAGUGACGCAGUAGCAGUGCGGUGGCUCGAUGCAUUGUCUUCUGCCCUGUAGACCAGGGUUCGAACCCCAGCUUCUACCAAUAUUUUCCUCCACCUUUUUCUCAUGACUUAUUCCCACCUACUUUAGGACUACAUGGGCCAGCCAGCGGACUUAAUGCCCUGUUUUUUUUUUCUUUUUUCUGGUCUUCUCUUUUCUCACUUCUGUUUUUGUUUUCUCCUUCUUUAAAUCAAUUUGAGAUUUUGAAGUAUUAAAAAGUUGCGAGUUUGAAAAAGCUGUUUGAGAAAUUAUAAAAUGUGUGUGAAUUCAAAAAAGUUCAGGAAAUCAUAAAAUUUUCGUGGUUUCAAAAAAUGUUACUGAUUUUACAAAAAUAUUUGCAAAUUAUAAAAAUAAUUUGGAAAGAAAUGUCGUUAAAUAAAAUCAAGUUCAUGAUCUUGAUAAAAUGAUCGUGUAUUCAAAACAUAUUUGUGAAUCUGAGUCAUCAUGAAAUCAAAAACUAUUCAUGCAUUUCAAUAAAUGUUCGUCUAAAAAACAAAUGUUUGUGAAUUUAAAAAAAUGUCUAAAUUUAAAAAGAAUGUUUGUCGAUUCAAAAAACUCUUCCUAUUCAGAUGUAUUUUAUAUCUAGGAUUUGAUUAAUUUUGGAAAUUCUUUAUAUGUCUUGGGGUUGGCGAGUAGUCCAUGGUCGAUGAGAUUUGUUUUCAAAGUUCAAAACAUUCCCUUGCGCGAGACAAUGACAAGUGUGUCGUACAGUGACAAGCCCAUUUUUUACCACGUUGAAUGCAUUGCGAUCACGUGGAUAUUGCAUCCGUCAUCAACGAGAGUGAGAAGAAAGAUAAUUGGCAACAUGGUGAGCCAUCGUGUUAAAAUAGAGGACAUUCAUAUGUCGGAUAUUGACCAACGUGUAAUUUUUUCUUCCGUUGCAACGCACGGGCAUAUUUGCUAGUACAACUAACAUCAGCUAAUUAUAGUGUACUAAUUAGCCGAAACAUUAACUAGCUAACAUUUGUACACGUACUGGAAUCCAUUAACUCAAUCCUCCUUUAUAAACUGGACGUGGAAAGAGCUGAAACUGUAUAUUGUGGUUCAUUUGUAAACUUUUAUUAUUUCAAUCAUGCAUGUUUAGAUCAUAAUUUUGUUUUACUUGUAAUAACAUAUUUUUGAGAAUAUCCUAUGUACCACAACCAAAUAUUGUAUAAGAAAAUAAAAUUUGGGUCGACCCAAAGUACCCAUUGGGCCGGUGAGGCCAUUGACUUUUUUGAAUUGGGUCGACCCGUGGCCUCUCAAAUUGGCCUCAAGGCCAACAGGGCCGGGUCCAAGGCCAGGUCCGGGCCGACUCAUUCCCACCCUGAUCUACGUCCAUGUCGGCCAGGCUUCAAGUGCUAGCUUCAAGGAGACGGCUGUAGGGUUACCUCAUCAUCGUCGUCAUCUCUGUUCGCCGCCGCUGCUUCUUCGAUGCCUCCAUGUCGGCCAUGGGAUGGCUGCUUGGUACUCUUACCUUUGCUACCACCCGCUGAUUUCAGGACGCGAAGACUUCGUCCCUGAUCGAUCGUAUUCCUAGGGUUUGAAGGCAAGCCUCUAUUCAAUUGAGAUGACUGGUUCGUGUGCUCAGAGCCAAAUUUCCUUCACGGUCUGUGUUGAUGUUUGAGUUCAUGAGCACGUUAUGGUUCCUCCACGUACAUGUGUAAUCUAACCGAGAGAUUAUUAGAAGUUAAAAAGUAUUUCCUUCUAUGACAUGACCUGGUUCUACACGUGACUAUGAUAUACUUGCCAAAGAAAGAAAGAACUUCUCUUUUCCGAUGACGAACCCCUUUGUACGUGUCAAAGAAGAAUUGUACCUAAUAGAUGUUGUACGUAACUUUUUUCAUCCUUCAAUCUUGACCGUUUUGAUUAGAAUCAACGGAUAAUAAAUUUUUAGCAUAUAUGGAUUAAC